CACAGCUCGGUUUCUAUCUACAAUGAUCAAUCCCAACUUUUCUGAGUCCUAGUACGCAAGGAAUGGUCUCAGCGAUGCUCGACUAUAUUGGCCCCAUCGACGUAAUCAACUUCUGGCUGCUGCAAAGAAGGAAAACAAAAGGUUUAGGGAUUAACAAGGUGCCGCGAAAGUGGCGUACCUUUUCAUAUGCCAUGUGGGUGCAUAGCCCCUGGUAUAUU
Molecule: ribosomal RNA, 218 nt
Filed under: Coelogorgia palmosa
Lineage: Eukaryota; Metazoa; Cnidaria; Anthozoa; Malacalcyonacea; Coelogorgiidae
Description: partial 16S ribosomal RNA
Source: RNAcentral